AGCGUUGUGCAAGCAGGCUCUGGAGACCCGCAGGCUCCUGGGCAGAGGGCUGCCUUCUGUGUGGGCUUGCCCCUCGCCACACCUGGCCAGGAGCCUCCCCCAGCCCCGUGACCCUUGUGUCAGAGCCUGGCCAGAUGACAGACGGCCUGGGGUGCAGGCGAGACCCACUGAACUGGCAGCUGAGGACAGGUCCAGGCCCAGUGGCUGGGGGACUUCUCAGAGCAGGUACCACAACAGCUACCCAAGGACUCAGGACUUUUCUCCCACAGCCAGACUUGGUGAUUGCAUGAAGGAGCCCAGCCUCGGAUGACCUUUCCCCGUGACAAGGCACUAGGAGAGCACAGACCUCCCCACACAAACACUGAGACACCCAACCUUGCGUGACCUUGAGCCAAACACAACUCUUAGGAUGUAACCUGCUUUACAAGAUGAGAAAGACACGAGUAAAAACAUCAGCAGACUCUGGAAGAGUCAGUAAACAAACAAGCUGUCCUUGGAGCAAGCAAGCGCUUCCCUUUCGGCAUCUCCCCCUCUCUGAGCGGCAGCCCUGCAAGUGAGGCCAAUAGCCGUCCCUCAGCUGUGUACAGGACAGGCAUUCUUGGACCUCAGAGUCCUGCAGUAGCAUUUUGAGGACGCCAAGUUAUUGAUGGGGACAGGUGCUCAUAAUUCAGCAUAACCCACCCAAGCCGUGUUUCACUUUUUCUGGAAACCUCUUGAUUUAGGAAUGAAAGCCCCUGGCUCCCCCUGGGCUGGGCUGGCCAGUAAACAUCUCAGUCUGAGUUUGCCGAGGUGGGUUGCUAAAUUUAAUUGCCAGUUUCCACACCAUGUGAUGGUGUGUGACAGGCCAGCUCACCCUGUGAGUUAGCCAAGGGGUUUUAAAUAAAUGCUUUCUGACGGAAAGGAUGAUAAAGGUUCCUAUUAUUCACCAGUGAGCCUGGAGACUGAGCUGGUCCGGUUUUUACGACUGAGGCACAGCAAUGUCAAUCUCAUGCUCUCUGUCACUACUUCCCACUGUGGCUUGACUAGGACAGCCUUAAGCGGCCUGCAGAAAGAGCUCCAGCCGGGUAGUCAGGAGACCUUUGCCAGCCCGAUCCGUCCAAGGUUUCUGUGACCUUGGAAGGCAAAUAGCUCUAUGGGCCAGCGUCAGCCUCUGCGUCUGCAGAGAGGAGUGCUUCACAGGUCAUGCUUGGGGCUUUCAGGAAGCAUGUAAUAGAUAUGCAAAGGCAUUGCUGUUGGUGAAACAUCCGUGGAACACCAGGCAACAAACCACUAAAAGCAGCAUUUUUCUUGCUCCGAUCCUUUAAAAUAUCGAUGGAGAUAAACUGAUGCUGCUAUUUGUGUUUUCCUUGACUAUUUCCUUACGAAGCCCUGCAGUCACCGAAUGCUCACUCAACCUUCCUUCAAAAGUGAUUCAACGUGUGGCCUGAGAAGCGGCAGCAUCAGCCUCACCUGGGCGUUGGUGAGAACGGCAGCAUCUUGGCCUCUCCUGCUGAAUCAGAGCGCGCUGCUUAACACGCUCCCGGGUGACUCGUACGUAGUCAGUGCUGGGAAGCGCUGGUCUACAGUCAUGUUUCUCAAGCUUGAAUGCACAUCCGAAUCCCCCGGAAGGUUUGCUAAAGCCUUGCUGGGCCCCACCCCCACGUUUCUGAUUCAGCAGGUGUGGGUCGGGGUCUGCGAACUUGCAUUUUUAGAAAGUUUUCUGGUGAUGGUGAUGCCUCUGGUCCAGGACCACACUUUGAGAACUUCUGGUCUUUCUUGAGCAGCUGUUUAGUGAUACCUUCAUUCCCACGUCACUAAGGGUGCAUAACGUCUCUUCGUUAUGUACUCUGGCUUCCUCAAUCCCUGGAAUUACUGUGGUAUCCUCGUGAUAUAUCUUCAUUUCUUCCUCUUUAAUCAUCCUUGAUCUCCCCCUUGAUUUCAAUAUGUGUUUAUCUCUCUUUCAUUAGGAAGCUCUAGACACAGAAAACCAGACAGCUCGGUGCUGUGCAAAAAUGGGAGGAUUUCAUGAAAAUCCUACUUUUUUCUCCCAUGUAGUUGUUUUAAAAUUCCACUUGUUUUUUGUUUGUUUG
Long non-coding RNA from Homo sapiens (human), 2069 nucleotides. RefSeq annotates it as long independently transcribed non-coding RNA 3055. Lineage: Eukaryota; Metazoa; Chordata; Mammalia; Primates; Hominidae. The record is from RefSeq and is a predicted model, not a curated record. The transcript has 3 exons.